GAUGAACGCUGGCGGCGUGCCUAAUACAUGCAAGUCGAGCGAACAGAUGAGGAGCUUGCUCCUCUGACGUUAGCGGCGGACGGGUGAGUAACACGUGGAUAACCUACCUAUAAGACUGGAUAACUUCGGGAAACCGGAGCUAAUACCGGAUAAUAUAUUGAACCGCAUGGUUCAAUAGUGAAAGACGGUUUUGCUGUCACUUAUAGAUGGAUCCGCGCCGCAUUAGCUAGUUGGUAAGGUAACGGCUUACCAAGGCAACGAUGCGUAGCCGACCUGAGAGGGUGAUCGGCCACACUGGAACUGAGACACGGUCCAGACUCCUACGGGAGGCAGCAGUAGGGAAUCUUCCGCAAUGGGCGAAAGCCUGACGGAGCAACGCCGCGUGAGUGAUGAAGGUCUUCGGAUCGUAAAACUCUGUUAUUAGGGAAGAACAAAUGUGUAAGAAACUAUGCACGUCUUGACGGUACCUAAUCAGAAAGCCACGGCUAACUACGUG
RNAcentral lists this ribosomal RNA (496 nucleotides) under uncultured bacterium. Its description in RNAcentral is "partial 16S ribosomal RNA". It matches the Rfam family "Bacterial small subunit ribosomal RNA", at positions 28 to 507 of the family's 1533-position model. The record is from RNAcentral.